This 191-nucleotide non-coding RNA is filed under the name Kangiella geojedonensis. Lineage: Bacteria; Pseudomonadati; Pseudomonadota; Gammaproteobacteria; Kangiellales; Kangiellaceae. The record is from RNAcentral.
AUAACUACUGACUAAUAAGGUUCCUUGCGAUUAAUCGGGAAACCAGUGAGAUUCUGGUACUGCCCCCGCAACGGUAAUAAAGAGCGUUACUCCAUGGCCACUGAGUAGAUACUUGGGAAGGCGGAGUGACUUAGCAUGGUAUUUUGCUAGAGCUUUUGAGUCCGGAGACCGGCCCUAUUAGACGUUGAGCA